This 253-nucleotide ribosomal RNA is filed under the name uncultured bacterium. Its description in RNAcentral is "partial 16S ribosomal RNA". It matches the Rfam family "Bacterial small subunit ribosomal RNA", at positions 524 to 776 of the family's 1533-position model. The record is from RNAcentral.
UACGGGGGGGGCAAGCGUUGUUCCGAAUUACUGGGCGUAAAGGGCUCGUAGGCGGCCAACUAAGUCAGACGUGAAAUCCCUCGGCUUAACCGGGGAACUGCGUCUGAUACUGGAUGGCUUGAGUUUGGGAGAGGGAUGCGGAAUUCCAGGUGUAGCGGUGAAAUGCGUAGAUAUCUGGAGGAACACCGGUGGCGAAGGCGGCGUCCUGGACCAACACUGACACUGAGGAGCGAAAGCCAGGGGAGCAAACGGG